GACGAACGCUGGCGGCAUGCCUAAUACAUGCAAGUCGAGCGAACAGAUGAAGUGCUUGCGCUUCUGACGUUAGCGGCGAACGGGUGAGUAACACGUAAGGAAUCUACCUAUAAGCGGGGGAUAACAUUCGGAAACGGGUGCUAAUACCGCAUAAUAUCUUCUUCCGCAUGGAAGAAGAUUGAAAGACGGCUCUGCUGUCACGUAUAGAUGACCUUGCGGUGCAUUAGUUAGUUGGUGGGGUAAUGGCCUACCAAGACGAUGAUGCAUAGCCGACCUGAGAGGGGGAUCGGCCACAUUGGGACUGCGACACGGCCCAAACUCCUACGGGAGGCAGCAGUAGGGAAUCUUCCGCAAUGGGCGAAAGCCUGACGGAGCAAUGCCGCGUGAGUGAAGAAGGCCUUCGGGUCGUAAAACUCUGUUAUAAGAGAAGAACGAAUUGUAGAGUAACUGCUACAGUCUUGACGGUAUCUUAUCAGAAAGCCACGGCUAACUACGUGCCAGCCGCCGCCGUAA
This 513-nucleotide ribosomal RNA is filed under the name uncultured bacterium. RNAcentral's name for it is "partial 16S ribosomal RNA". It matches the Rfam family "Bacterial small subunit ribosomal RNA", at positions 28 to 523 of the family's 1533-position model. The record is from RNAcentral.